UGUUAGGAGAGUCUGAUGGAGCAUGCCGCGUGAGCGAAGAAGGUUUUCGGAUCGUAAAGCUCUGUUGUAAGGGAAGAACACGUACGGGAGUAACUGCCCGUGCCAUGACGGUACCUUAUUAGAAAGCCACGGCUAACUACGUGCCAGCAGCCGCGGUAAU
This 160-nucleotide ribosomal RNA is filed under the name uncultured bacterium. Its description in RNAcentral is "partial 16S ribosomal RNA". It matches the Rfam family "Bacterial small subunit ribosomal RNA", at positions 369 to 524 of the family's 1533-position model. The record is from RNAcentral.